GUCAACAACUUCGGUGAUUCUCA
Molecule: non-coding RNA, 23 nt
Filed under: Arabidopsis thaliana (thale cress)
Lineage: Eukaryota; Viridiplantae; Streptophyta; Magnoliopsida; Brassicales; Brassicaceae
Source: RNAcentral